Molecule: non-coding RNA, 26 nt
Filed under: Cricetulus griseus (Chinese hamster)
Lineage: Eukaryota; Metazoa; Chordata; Mammalia; Rodentia; Cricetidae
Source: RNAcentral
UCUCAUGUGGCUGCAGAGGAUAUCUA